GGAGAGAUGUCUGAGCUGGUUGAAGGAGCACGCCUGGAAAGCGUGUGUACACGUAAGUGUACCGAGGGUUCGAAUCCCUCUCUCUCCG
RNAcentral lists this transfer RNA (88 nucleotides) under Acetobacterium bakii. It matches the Rfam family "tRNA". From Rfam's summary of the family: Transfer RNA (tRNA) molecules are approximately 80 nucleotides in length. Their secondary structure includes four short double-helical elements and three loops (D, anti-codon, and T loops). The record is from Rfam by way of RNAcentral. Lineage: Bacteria; Bacillati; Bacillota; Clostridia; Eubacteriales; Eubacteriaceae.